This 467-nucleotide ribosomal RNA is filed under the name uncultured bacterium. RNAcentral's name for it is "partial 16S ribosomal RNA". It matches the Rfam family "Bacterial small subunit ribosomal RNA", at positions 28 to 506 of the family's 1533-position model. The record is from RNAcentral.
GACGAACGCUGGCGGCGUGCUUAACACAUGCAAGUCGAACGGAAAGGCCCUGCUUUUGUGGGGUGCUCGAGUGGCGAACGGGUGAGUAACACGUGAGUAACCUGCCCUUGACUUUGGGAUAACUUCAGGAAACUGGGGCUAAUACCGGAUAGGAGCUCCUGCUGCAUGGUGGGGGUUGGAAAGUUUCGGCGGUUGGGGAUGGACUCGGGGUUUAUGAGCUUGUGGGUGGGGUAGUGGCUUACCAAGGAUUUGACGGGUAGCCGGCCUGGGAGGGUGACCGGCCACAUUGGGACAGAGAUACGGCCCAGACUCCUACGGGAGGCAGGAGUGGGGAAUAUUGCAAAAUGGGCGGAAGCCUGAUGCAGCAACGCCGCGUGCGGGAGGACGGCCUUCGGGUUGUAAACCGCUUUAGCCUGUGACGAAGCGUGAGUGACGGUAAUGGGUAAAGAGGCACCGGCUAACUACGU